AGGAGAAUAGUUAAUAAUAACAUUUAAAUUGCAAUUAAAAAUUACAUAAUAUGUUUCUCUUA
This 62-nucleotide transfer RNA is filed under the name Tropidocephala brunnipennis. Its description in RNAcentral is "tRNA-Ala". The record is from RNAcentral. Lineage: Eukaryota; Metazoa; Arthropoda; Insecta; Hemiptera; Delphacidae.